Molecule: transfer RNA, 72 nt
Filed under: Camelus bactrianus (Bactrian camel)
Lineage: Eukaryota; Metazoa; Chordata; Mammalia; Artiodactyla; Camelidae
Also listed under: 2 other names
Rfam family: tRNA
About the family: Transfer RNA (tRNA) molecules are approximately 80 nucleotides in length. Their secondary structure includes four short double-helical elements and three loops (D, anti-codon, and T loops). Further hydrogen bonds mediate the characteristic L-shaped molecular structure. tRNAs have two regions of fundamental functional importance: the anti-codon, which is responsible for specific mRNA codon recognition, and the 3' end, to which the tRNAs corresponding amino acid is attached (by aminoacyl-tRNA synthetases). tRNAs cope with the degeneracy of the genetic code in two manners: having more than one tRNA (with a specific anti-codon) for a particular amino acid; and 'wobble' base-pairing, i.e. permitting non-standard base-pairing at the 3rd anti-codon position.
Source: Rfam by way of RNAcentral
GAGGGUAUGGCUCAGUGGUAGAGUGUGUACUUAGCAUGCAUAAGGUCCUGGGUUCAAUCCCCAGUACCUCCA